RNAcentral lists this transfer RNA (73 nucleotides) under Myotis lucifugus (little brown bat). It matches the Rfam family "tRNA". From Rfam's summary of the family: Transfer RNA (tRNA) molecules are approximately 80 nucleotides in length. Their secondary structure includes four short double-helical elements and three loops (D, anti-codon, and T loops). Lineage: Eukaryota; Metazoa; Chordata; Mammalia; Chiroptera; Vespertilionidae. The record is from Rfam by way of RNAcentral.
GCCGGUGUUGCUCAGUAGUUAGAGCAACAGUCUGCACACUGAAGAGUUGCAGGUUCGAUUCCUGGCCCUGGUC